Molecule: long non-coding RNA, 455 nt
Filed under: Anneissia japonica
Lineage: Eukaryota; Metazoa; Echinodermata; Crinoidea; Comatulida; Comatulidae
Description: uncharacterized LOC117121126, transcript variant X3
Source: RNAcentral
UUCCUGUUUUUUAAAUUGUUUCCUUUGUAGACGUCACAGCGGAUCCAUUCUAUUGACAGCGGCUCACCCCAAAGACAUUGCCAUGACGAUAGCUCAGAUUGUCAAGAAAUAUCCAGAGUAGGUGAAGAACAACUUGAAGAAAACCAGUUGGGCAAUAUGUUGAUACAACUGCUAACACACAGCAAUAGGCUAUGCAUAGCCCUAACCAAAGAGCAAUACACCUAGGACAUUACCUCUCCACAUACUGCAGUAUGUAGAUGCCCAACCAUAGCCAAGUUGCGUGUACGUGACUAUCGUCUCCUGUGGAUUACUUGUAACUGCUAUUGUUAUAUGAUAAGUACAAAUGCAUGGUAUUACCUGUAAAAUUGAAAUAACAAUAACAUAGAGUAGUACUGACUUGGCACCGUUCUCAUUAACUGAAGGUUUUUCAAGUGUCCUCAGUCUCUUAAUUUUUU